RNAcentral lists this ribosomal RNA (696 nucleotides) under uncultured Alphaproteobacteria bacterium. RNAcentral's name for it is "bacterial SSU rRNA". It matches the Rfam family "Bacterial small subunit ribosomal RNA", at positions 130 to 861 of the family's 1533-position model. The record is from RNAcentral. Lineage: Bacteria; Pseudomonadati; Pseudomonadota; Alphaproteobacteria.
CUUUUGGUUCGGAAUAACAUCGGGAAACUGGUGCUAAUACCGGAUAAGCCCUUCGGGGGAAAGAUUUAUCGCCAAUAGAUGGGCCCGCGUUAGAUUAGCUAGUUGGUGAGGUAACGGCUCACCAAGGCAACGAUCUAUAGCUGGUCUGAGAGGAUGAUCAGCCUCACUGGGACUGAGACACGGCCCAGACUCCUACGGGAGGCAGCAGUGGGGAAUAUUGGACAAUGGGGGAAACCCUGAUCCAGCCAUGCCGCGUGAAUGAUAAGGCCUUCGGGUUGUAAAGUUCUUUUGGCGGGGACGAUGAUGACGGUACCCGCAGAAUAAGCUCCGGCUAACUUCGUGCCAGCAGCCGCGGUAAUACGAAGGGAGCUAGCGUUGUUCGGAAUUACUGGGCGUAAAGGGCGCGUAGGCGGCUCGAUUAGUUGGAUGUGAAAGCCCAGGGCUCAACCCUGGAAUUGCAUUCAAUACUGUCUUGCUUGAAUUCGGUAGAGGUUGGUGGAAUUCCCAGUGUAGAGGUGAAAUUCGUAGAGAUUGGGAAGAACACCCGUGGCGAAGGCGGCCAACUGGACCGACAUUGACGCUGAGGCGCGAAAGCGUGGGGAUCAAACAGGAUUAGAUACCCUGGUAGUCCACGCUGUAAACGAUGCAUGCUAGACGUUGGAAACCUCAGGUUUCCAGUGUCGCAGCUAACGCACU